GUAGGGUGCAAGCGUUAAUCGGAAUUACUGGGCGUAAAGCGUGCGCAGGCGGUCCGCUAAGACAGAUGUGAAAUCCCCGGGGCGUUAACCUGGGAACUGCAUUUGUGACUGGCGGGCUAGAGUAUGGCAGAGGGGGGUAGAAUUCCACGUGUAGCAGUGAAAUGCGUAGAGAUGUGGAGGAAUACCGAUGGCGAAGGCAGCCCCCUGGGCCAAUACUGACGCUCAUGCACGAAAGCGUGGGGAGCAAACAGGAUUAGAUACCCUGGUAGUCCACGCCCUAAACGAUGUCAACUAGUUGUCGGGUCUUCAUUGACUUGGUAACGUAGCUAACGCGUGAAGUUGACCGCCUGGGGAGUACGGUCGCAAGAUUA
Molecule: ribosomal RNA, 371 nt
Filed under: uncultured organism
Description: partial 16S ribosomal RNA
Rfam family: Bacterial small subunit ribosomal RNA
Source: RNAcentral